GUGUGCUCUUGGCCUUGAACCCACCAGCUCCUUGCAUCCAUCGUGAAUUAUGAGAAUGAAGACUUCUUUGGCAGCCUUUCUGGUCAUUGCUGCUGUCUUAUUCCAGGCUCAAGCAAGUCUUGGCUCCCCAUUGGAGUUGUGUUGUUUCACCUUUGUAUCAAAGCCCAUUCCCCCGUCUGUAUUGUUAUCAUAUGAAUAUACAGUUCCAGCAUGCCCUAAGCCUGCAGUUGUAUUUACCACUAGGGGAGGUAGGAAAAUCUGCGCUGAUCCCUCAGUGCAAUGGACCCAGGAUGUAAUUCGCCAUCUGGAGCAAAAAAUAAUACCUUCUACCUCCCCCUAAGGAAUUGAAGAGGAAGCAUAGGCAUCUGUAAAUCGGCAGAGGAGGAAGGAAAAUUAUAUUUUCCCUAUUCGCACAUUGAAUACAGAACCUAUUCAAGUUAUUUCAUAUUUCUACUUUGGAAUGUGUGUGAUAAAAUAUAUUCUGUUUAGACAAAUGUUAGCUCCACUCUCAACUGUUUCCAUCAGCCUCUGCUUCCAGAACUACAUGCUUUAAAAAUCCUCCUGUUCUUAAAACGCUUCAUACGAAUGUUUCAUUUAUAUGCUGUUUGUUUUCCUUAUUGCAAAUAACACUAAAAUACUUUAAUGCAAAUCUUCAGGGUUGGAAAGAUGAGAGAAGGGAUCUUUCAGACAUCAAAUAUCCAUGCCAAAGGUCCUUUUCUUCCUGAGCUUGAUUCUGAAGAAGCAAAGUUACUGCAUACUGAAUACAAUGAAGUGAUUUCCCAAUACAACUGUUUGCUGACCCUGAUUAAAAAGGGCACUUCUCCGAGAGUGAGCAGUUUUUGCAUAUCAAACUCACUUAAGU
Long non-coding RNA from Candoia aspera, 862 nucleotides. RefSeq lists it as uncharacterized. Lineage: Eukaryota; Metazoa; Chordata; Lepidosauria; Squamata; Candoiidae. The transcript is spliced from 3 exons. The record is from RefSeq and is a predicted model, not a curated record.